RNAcentral lists this ribosomal RNA (492 nucleotides) under uncultured bacterium. RNAcentral describes it as "partial 16S ribosomal RNA". It matches the Rfam family "Bacterial small subunit ribosomal RNA", at positions 29 to 507 of the family's 1533-position model. The record is from RNAcentral.
AGUGAACGCUGGCGGUAGGCCUAACACAUGCAAGUCGAACGGCAGCACAGUAAGAGCUUGCUCUUACGGGUGGCGAGUGGCGGACGGGUGAGGAAUACAUCGGAAUCUACUUUUUCGUGGGGGAUAACGUAGGGAAACUUACGCUAAUACCGCAUACGACCUACGGGUGAAAGCAGGGGAUCUUCGGACCUUGCGCGAUUGAAUGAGCCGAUGUCGGUUUAGCUAGUUGGCGGGGUAAAGGCCCACCAAGGCGACGAUCCGUAGCUGGUCUGAGAGGAUGAGCAGCCACACUGGAACUGAGACACGGUCCAGACUCCUACGGGAGGCAGCAGUGGGGAAUAUUGGACAAUGGGCGCAAGCCUGAUCCAGCCAUACCGCGUGGGUGAAGAAGGCCUUCGGGUUGUAAAGCCCUUUUGUUGGGAAAGAAAAGCAGCAGGUUAAUACCCCGCUGUUCUGACGGUACCCACAGAAUAAGCACCGGCUAACUUCGUG